Molecule: ribosomal RNA, 503 nt
Filed under: uncultured bacterium
Lineage: Bacteria
Description: partial 16S ribosomal RNA
Rfam family: Bacterial small subunit ribosomal RNA
Source: RNAcentral
AUUGAACGCUGGCGGCAGGCUUAACACAUGCAAGUCGAGCGGGGUGAUGGUGCUUGCACUAUCACUUAGCGGCGGAGGGGUGAGUAAUGCUUAGGAAUCUGCCUAUUAGUGGGGGACAACAUCUCGAAAGGGAUGCUAAUACCGCAUACGUCCUACGAGAGAAAGCAGGGGAUCACUUGUGACCUUGCGCUAAUAGAUGAGCCUAAGUCGGAUUAGCUAGUUGGUGGGGUAAAGGCCUACCAAGGCGACGAUCUGUAGCGGGUCUGAGAGGAUGAUCCGCCACACUGGGACUGAGACACGGCCCAGACUCCUACGGGAGGCAGCAGUGGGGAAUAUUGGACAAUGGGGGGAACCCUGAUCCAGCCAUGCCGCGUGUGUGAAGAAGGCCUUAUGGUUGUAAAGCACUUUAAGCGGGGAGGAGGCUCUUUUGGUUAAUACCCAAGAUGAGUGGACGUUACUCGCAGAAUAAGCACCGGCUAACUCUGUGCCAGCAGCCGCCGUAA